Molecule: unclassified non-coding RNA, 312 nt
Filed under: plant metagenome
Description: partial contains 5.8S ribosomal RNA, internal transcribed spacer 2, and large subunit ribosomal RNA
Rfam family: 5.8S ribosomal RNA (bases 1-105)
Source: RNAcentral
GAAAUGCGAUAAGUAAUGUGAAUUGCAGAAUUCCGUGAAUCAUCGAAUCUUUGAACGCACAUUGCGCCCUCUGGCACUCCGGGGGGCAUGCCUGUCCGAGCGUCAUUACGCACCCUCAAGCCCGGCUUGUGUGAUGGGCCCUGGCGUCUCGUUCGCGAGACGGGCCCGAAAGGCAGCGGCGGCGUCGACCCGAUGAGCCCGAGCGUAUGGGGACUUUUGUCACACGUUUGCGGUGCGGACCGGCGCCUGCUUGACUUUUCUGAUUAUCCAGGUUGACCUCGGAUCAGGUAGGGAUACCCGCUGAACUUAAGC